This 229-nucleotide ribosomal RNA is filed under the name uncultured bacterium. RNAcentral describes it as "partial 16S ribosomal RNA". It matches the Rfam family "Bacterial small subunit ribosomal RNA", at positions 107 to 334 of the family's 1533-position model. The record is from RNAcentral.
UGAGUAACACGUAUCCAACCUGCCGUCUACUCUUGGCCAGCCUUCUGAAAGGAAGAUUAAUCCAGGAUGGCAUCAUGAGUUCACAUGUCCGCAUGAUUAAAGGUAUUUUCCGGUAGACGAUGGGGAUGCGUUCCAUUAGGUUGUUGGUGAGGUAACGGCUCACCAAGCCUUCGAUGGAUAGGGGUUCUGAGAGGAAGGUCCCCCACAUUGGAACUGAGACACGGUCCAA